This 73-nucleotide ribosomal RNA is filed under the name Paraburkholderia fungorum. Its description in RNAcentral is "partial 16S ribosomal RNA". It matches the Rfam family "Bacterial small subunit ribosomal RNA", at positions 1 to 73 of the family's 1533-position model. Lineage: Bacteria; Pseudomonadati; Pseudomonadota; Betaproteobacteria; Burkholderiales; Burkholderiaceae. The record is from RNAcentral. RNAcentral also lists the same sequence under 1 other name.
GAACUGAAGAGUUUGAUCCUGGCUCAGAUUGAACGCUGGCGGCAUGCCUUACACAUGCAAGUCGAACGGCAGC